RNAcentral lists this ribosomal RNA (2093 nucleotides) under human gut metagenome. RNAcentral describes it as "bacterial LSU rRNA". It matches the Rfam family "Bacterial large subunit ribosomal RNA", at positions 786 to 2925 of the family's 2925-position model. The record is from RNAcentral.
UCGUUAAAAAGGCACCGGAUGAACUGUGGAUAGCGGAGAAAUUCCAAUCGAACUCAGAGAUAGCUGGUUCUCCUCGAAAUAGCUUUAGGGCUAGCCUUGAGGUUAAAGCAUAUGGGGGUAGAGCACUGAAUGAGGUAGGGGCCUAACCAGGUUACCAAACUCUAUCAAACUCCGAAUACCAUAUGUAAAUACUCAGGAGUCAGACUGCGGGAGCUAAGUUCCGUGGUCAAAAGGAAAACAGUCCAGACCGUCAAUUAAGGUCCCAAAGAUAUAGCUAAGUGGAAAACGAUGUGAUUUUGCGUAAACAACCAGGAUGUUGGCUCAGAAGCAGCCAUUCAUUUAAAGAGUGCGUAAUAGCUCACUGGUCGAGUGAAGUUGCGCGGAAAAUUACCGGGGCUAAGCUAUACACCGAAAUUGCGGAUUUGCAGUUGAAAGACACUGUAAGUGGUAGAGGAGCAUUCUGUAGUAGGACGAAGCAGUACCGAAAGGAGCUGUGGACGAGGCAGAAGAGAGAAUGCUGGAAUAAGUAGCGAGAGGAUGGUGAGAAUCCAUCCCGUCGAAAAUCUAAGGUUUCCUAGGGAAGGUUCGUCCGCCUAGGGUAAGUCGGGACCUAAGGAGAGGCCAAAAGGCGUAUCUGAUGGACAGCAGGUUGAAAUUCCUGCACUAUAGCUAUACUUAAAAGAUGCAAGGGACGCAGAAGUGGAAGAUAACCAUGGAAGAGGAAAGACAUGGCCCGCAAGGGGGAGUGAAACAAUAAGUAACGAAGUAUCAAGAAGCACGCUGACGAGAAAAGCUUGUAGAUAUUGUAUAGAAAUACCCGUACCGCAAACCGACACAGGUAGAUGAGGAGAGGAUCCUAAGACGAGCGGGAGAAGCAUUGUUAAGGAACUCGGCAAAUUAACCCCGUAACUUCGGAAUAAGGGGUACUGAUGUAACAGUCAGUCGCAGAGAAAAGGCCCAAGCAACUGUUUAACAAAAACAUAGGUUUCUGCUAAAUCGAAAGAUGAAGUAUAGGAGCUGACGCCUGCCCAGUGCUGGAAGGUUAAGGGAAGAGGUUAGAUUAUAUCAAAGCUUCGAACUGAAGCCCCAGUGAACGGCGGCCGUAACUAUAACGGUCCUAAGGUAGCGAAAUUCCUUGUCAGGUAAGUUCUGACCCGCACGAAAGGCGUAAUGAUUUGGGCACUGUCUCGACAAUGUCCCCGGCGAAAUUGUAGUACUAGUGAAGAUGCUAGUUACCUGCGAUAAGACAGAAAGACCCCAUGGAGCUUUACUGCAGUUUGAUACUGGGUUUCGAUGAUUUAUGUACAGGAUAGUUGGGAGGCUAUGAGUAAGAGGCGUCAGCUUCUUAGGAGCCAACGUUGGGAUACCAACCUUAAGUUAUUGAAAUUCUAACCUUUGAUCAUGAACUGGUCAGGGGACAAUGUCAGACGGGCAGUUUGACUGGGGCGGUCGCCUCCUAAAGAGUAACGGAGGCGUCCAAAGGUUCCCUCAGCGCGGACAGAAAUCGCGCGAAAGAGUGCAAAGGCAGAAGGGAGCUUAACUGAGAGACAGACAUGUCGACCAGAUACGAAAGUAGGGCUUAGUGAUCCGGUGGUUGUAAAUGGAAAUGCCAUCGCUCAACGGACAAAAGUUACCCUGGGGAUAACAGGCUUAUCUCCCCCAAGAGUUCACAUCGACGGGGAGGUUUGGCACCUCGAUGUCGGCUCAUCGCAUCCUGGAGCGGAAGUACGUUCCAAGGGUUGGGCUGUUCGCCCAUUAAAGCGGUACGCGAGCUGGGUUCAGAACGUCGUGAGACAGUUCGGUCCUUAUCUAUCGCAGGCGUAAGAUAUUUGAAGAGUGCUGUCCUUAGUACGAGAGGACCAGGAUGGACAUACCAAUGGUGUAUCAGUUGUCUCACCAGAGGCACGGCUGAGUAGCUAAGUAUGGAUUGGAUAAACGCUGAAAGCAUCUAAGUGUGAAGCCAACUCUAAGAUAAGAUAUCUCAUAUCGUAAGGUAGUAAGAUUCCAUAAAGACUAUGUGGUUGAUAGGUUGGAGGUGUAAGUGUAGCGAUACAUUGAGCUGACCAAUACUAAUAAAUCGAGGGCUUAACCAC